Molecule: ribosomal RNA, 495 nt
Filed under: Cirrhinus mrigala (mrigala)
Lineage: Eukaryota; Metazoa; Chordata; Actinopteri; Cypriniformes; Cyprinidae
Description: partial 16S ribosomal RNA
Rfam family: Bacterial large subunit ribosomal RNA
Source: RNAcentral
CGGCCGCGGUAUUUUGACCGUGCAAAGGUAGCGCAAUCACUUGUCUUUUAAAUAGAGACCUGUAUGAAUGGCUAAACGAGGGCUUAACUGUCUCCCCUUUCCAGUCAGUGAAAUUGAUCUACCCGUGCAGAAGCGGGUAUAAUAAUACAAGACGAGAAGACCCUUUGGAGCUUAAGGUACAAAACUCAACCACGUCAAGCAACUCAAUAAAAAGCAAAAACUUUGUGAAACAUGAGAUUUUACCUUCGGUUGGGGCGACCACGGAGGAAAACAAAGCCUCCAAGUGGACUGGGAAAACCUCCUAAAACCAAGAGAGACAUCUCUAAGCCACAGAACAUCUGACCAAACAUGAUCCGGCCACCCAAAGCCGAUCAACGAACCAAGUUACCCUAGGGAUAACAGCGCAAUCCUCUCCCAGAGUCCAUAUCGACGAGAGGGUUUACGACCUCGAUGUUGGAUCAGGACAUCCUAAUGGUGCAGCCGCUAUUAAGGGUU